GGGCGAGUGGUGGAAUUGGUAGACACGCCAGCCUUAGGAGCUGGUGCCGCAAGGCGUGAAGGUUCGAGUCCUUUUUCGCCCACCA
RNAcentral lists this transfer RNA (85 nucleotides) under Candidatus Uhrbacteria bacterium. RNAcentral describes it as "tRNA-Leu". It matches the Rfam family "tRNA". Rfam says of the family: Transfer RNA (tRNA) molecules are approximately 80 nucleotides in length. The record is from RNAcentral. Lineage: Bacteria; Candidatus Uhriibacteriota.